CAGCAGCCGCGGUAAUACGUAGGGGGCAAGCGUUAUCCGGAAUUACUGGGUGUAAAGGGAGCGUAGACGGUUAAACAAGUCUGAAGUGAAAUGCCGGGGCUCAACCCCGGAGCUGCUUUGGGAACUGUAGAACUGGAGUGUCGGAGGGGUAAGCGGAAUUCCCAGUGUAGCGGUGAAAUGCGUAGAUAUUGGGAGGAACACCGGCGGCGAAGGCGGCUUACUGGACGACAACUGACGUUGAGGCUCGAAGGCGUGGGUAGCAAACAGGAUUAGAUACCCCAGUAGUCCCUGUCUCUUAUAC
Molecule: ribosomal RNA, 301 nt
Filed under: uncultured bacterium
Lineage: Bacteria
Description: partial 16S ribosomal RNA
Rfam family: Bacterial small subunit ribosomal RNA
Source: RNAcentral